Molecule: ribosomal RNA, 253 nt
Filed under: uncultured bacterium
Lineage: Bacteria
Description: partial 16S ribosomal RNA
Rfam family: Bacterial small subunit ribosomal RNA
Source: RNAcentral
CACGUAGGAGGCGAGCGUUGUCCGGAAUCAUUGGGCGUAAAGAGCGCGCAGGCGGCUUGGCAAGUCGGGUGUGAAAUCCCGGGGCUCAACCCCGGGACUGCAUUCGAUACUGUCAGGCUAGAGGUAGGUAGGGGAGAUCGGAAUUCCUGGUGUAGCGGUGAAAUGCGUAGAUAUCUGGAGGAACACCGGUGGCGAAGGCGGCGUUCUGGACUGCAACUGACACUGAGGAACGAAAGCCAGGGGAGCAAACGGG